Ovis aries (sheep) is the source of this 72-nucleotide transfer RNA. It matches the Rfam family "tRNA". Rfam says of the family: Transfer RNA (tRNA) molecules are approximately 80 nucleotides in length. Their secondary structure includes four short double-helical elements and three loops (D, anti-codon, and T loops). Lineage: Eukaryota; Metazoa; Chordata; Mammalia; Artiodactyla; Bovidae. The record is from Rfam.
UCCCUGAUGGCCUAAUGGUUAAGAUGUGGUGCUCUCACCUCCAUGGCCUGGGUUCAAUCCCUAGUCAGGGAG